GGAUAUAAGAUACNCAAGAUGAGAAGACCCUUUGGAGCUUAAGGUACAAGCUUACCCAUGUUAGAUGACUUUAUAAGAAGCAAGAACUUAGUGGCAAUAAGACUUUACCUUCGGUUGGGGCUACCAUGGAGGAGAAACAAGCCUCCUAGUGUUCCGGGCCAAACCCCCUUGCCUAAAGUCAAGAGACACAUCUCUAUGCCGCAGGGCAUCUGACCAUCAAUGAUCCUGACUAUAAAGUCGACCAACGGACCAAGCUACCCAAGGGAUAACUGCGCAAUCCCCUCCCAGAGACCAUAUNUACCACUGAGUUUACGACCUCAAUGUUGGAUCACGACAUCCUAAUGGUGCACUGCGCUAUUAUGGACCUCCUAUGACUCACGAUAAAAGCCCUACGUGAUCUGAGUUC
RNAcentral lists this ribosomal RNA (406 nucleotides) under Phoxinus phoxinus (Eurasian minnow). RNAcentral describes it as "partial 16S ribosomal RNA". It matches the Rfam family "Bacterial large subunit ribosomal RNA", at positions 2076 to 2612 of the family's 2925-position model. The record is from RNAcentral. Lineage: Eukaryota; Metazoa; Chordata; Actinopteri; Cypriniformes; Leuciscidae.